GAUGAACGCUGGCGGCGUGCCUAAUACAUGCAAGUCGAGCGAACAGACGAGGAGCUUGCUCCUCUGACGUUAGCGGCGGACGGGUGAGUAACACGUGGAUAACCUACCUAUAAGACUGGGAUAACUUCGGGAAACCGGAGCUAAUACCGGAUAAUAUAUUGAACCGCAUGGUUCAAUAGUGAAAGACGGUUUUGCUGUCACUUAUAGAUGGAUCCGCGCCGCAUUAGCUAGUUGGUAAGGUAACGGCUUACCAAGGCAACGAUGCGUAGCCGACCUGAGAGGGUGUACGGCCACACUGGAACUGAGACACGGUCCCGACUCCUGCGGGAGGCACCAGUAUGGAAUCUUCCGCAAUGGGCGAAAGCUUGACGGAGCAACGCCGCGUGAGUGAUGAAGGUCUUCGGAUCGUAAAACUCUGUUAUUAGGGAAGAACAAAUGUGUAAGUAACUAUGCACGUCUUGACGGUACCUAAUCAGAAAGCCACGGCUAACUACGUG
This 497-nucleotide ribosomal RNA is filed under the name uncultured bacterium. RNAcentral's name for it is "partial 16S ribosomal RNA". It matches the Rfam family "Bacterial small subunit ribosomal RNA", at positions 28 to 507 of the family's 1533-position model. The record is from RNAcentral.